GACGAACGCUGGCGGCGUGCUUAACACAUGCAAGUCGAACGGAAAGGCCCUGCUUUUGUGGGGUGCUCGAGUGGCGAACGGGUGAGUAGCACGUGAGUAACCUGCCCUUGACUUUGGGAUAACUUCAGGAAACUGGGGCUAAUACCGGAUAGGAGCUCCUGCUGCAUGGUGGGGGUUGGAAAGUUUCGGCGGUUGGGGAUGGACUCGCGGCUUAUCAGCUUGUUGGUGGGGUAGUGGCUUACCAAGGCUUUGACGGGUAGCCGGCCUGAGAGGGUGACCGGCCACAUUGGGACUGAGAUACGGCCCAGACUCCUACGGGAGGCAGCAGUGGGGAAUAUUGCACAAUGGGCGGAAGCCUGAUGCAGCAACGCCGCGUGCGGGAUGACGGCCUUCGGGUUGUAAACCGCUUUCGCCUGUGACGGAGCGUGAGUGACGGUAAUGGGUAAAGAAGCACCGGCUAACUACGUG
This 468-nucleotide ribosomal RNA is filed under the name uncultured bacterium. Its description in RNAcentral is "partial 16S ribosomal RNA". It matches the Rfam family "Bacterial small subunit ribosomal RNA", at positions 28 to 507 of the family's 1533-position model. The record is from RNAcentral.